Paramuricea clavata is the source of this 650-nucleotide non-coding RNA. Lineage: Eukaryota; Metazoa; Cnidaria; Anthozoa; Malacalcyonacea; Plexauridae. The record is from the annotation of a GenBank genome assembly.
AAAAUGGAGUAAAACGAAUAAGAACGUGUGAGCGAAAAAAAAUCGCACUUCAAGAAAUUUAAGCUCAAUCUUGCAGCUGAAUGAUGCGAGUCGAAUUGUAGCAAGUCCAGUCAUUAUAGAACCUGCAUCACUUCAUAGGUUUAGUAUAAAAACUAUUCGGAUAUACAGUAUUACAACAAUUAAAAUUAUAUAUUAUUAUUAGUGUAUUCUACACUAAAUCUAAGCUACUAUUAAUUUACAACAAUAUAAAUAAAAGUACAUGCACUUAUAUAAGGGAAAAUCCUGCAAUCUAGUCUUAUUUUAUCUUUUUAUCUUUUUUUCAUAUUUCUUUAUUUUUUGUAAAUAGUUUAUUCUAUAUUUCACGCCCUUCAUAGAAAUCAGCCUCCUAACGGUUGUAUGUAUGAAUGCGGCGUUUAUGAUCAUGGUACAAAGUGGCUUUCAGCUAUGUUUAUUUAAUAAAACAUUCACGUUAAGAAAUUUAAGCUCUAUCUCAGUUUUCUUAUCAUCGUUAUAAGCCUGUUUGGAAUGAAAACUUAUCCCGAGCUUUUAGGCUUUUACCGCUAUCAAGCCUGUCACACGUUCAUUUCCUGCUUUUGUCUUGCUGAUACAAGGAUUGCAUCUGCAAUUUGAACCCUGUGCAAACAUUUCCU